This 25-nucleotide non-coding RNA is filed under the name Cricetulus griseus (Chinese hamster). The record is from RNAcentral. Lineage: Eukaryota; Metazoa; Chordata; Mammalia; Rodentia; Cricetidae.
GGAGAGAGGAAGCGCAAGUCUGUUC